GCAUCUAAGCACGAAACUUGCCCCGAGAUGAGUUCUCCCUGAGACUUUAAGUCUCCUGAAGGAACGUUGAAGACGACGACGUUGAUAGGCCGGGUGUGUAAGCGCAGCGAUGCGUUGAGCUAACCGGUACUAAUGAACCGUGAGGCUUAACCUUACAACGCCGAAG
RNAcentral lists this ribosomal RNA (166 nucleotides) under Acinetobacter baumannii. Its description in RNAcentral is "partial 23S ribosomal RNA". It matches the Rfam family "Bacterial large subunit ribosomal RNA", at positions 2777 to 2925 of the family's 2925-position model. Lineage: Bacteria; Pseudomonadati; Pseudomonadota; Gammaproteobacteria; Moraxellales; Moraxellaceae. The record is from RNAcentral.